CAACGCAGAGUUUGAUCCUGGCUCAGGAUGAACGCUGGCGGCGUGCCUAAUGCAUGCAAGUCGCACGGAGGCUUCGGCCCACCGUGGCGCACGGCUGAGGAACACGUGGGUGAUCUACCCCGGCGUGGGGGAUACCCCGGCGAAAGCCGGGACAAUCCCGCAUACGAUCCGAUCUCAUCGGAUGAAAGCGGUAACGCGCGCCGGGCGGAGCCUGCGGCCCAUCAGGUAGUUGGCGGGGUAACGGCCCACCAAGCCGGUGACGGG
This 264-nucleotide ribosomal RNA is filed under the name Candidatus Altimarinota bacterium. RNAcentral's name for it is "partial 16S ribosomal RNA". It matches the Rfam family "Bacterial small subunit ribosomal RNA", at positions 1 to 283 of the family's 1533-position model. Lineage: Bacteria; Candidatus Altimarinota. The record is from RNAcentral.